Molecule: long non-coding RNA, 976 nt
Filed under: Homo sapiens (human)
Lineage: Eukaryota; Metazoa; Chordata; Mammalia; Primates; Hominidae
Description: non-protein coding lnc-DEGS2-7:3
Source: RNAcentral
GUGCCGGGUGCACCUCGCGAGCUAGCUGCCGCCCCGCCUGUGUCGCGGUCGUACCCUCCGCCCUCUGCGCCGAGAGCCGCUGCCGCCCGAGACCUUCGAGGGCUCCUCGCCCCUGCUUCCUGGGAGACCCUCUCCGCUGGGAGAGUCGCAGUCACGGAGCCGGGGGACACCUGUACGGGCAGGCGGCCGGCGAAGGCCCGGCCCGAGAGGAAGCGGGCCCCGAACGCCGCAACUGCCUGGGAAGCGGCUUUGCGUGUGCGCGGCGAGAGUAGCGGGGCCAUUGCCGGGCGUCUCAGGCGCCCGGGGCACCUCCGCCCUUCUUCCUGCCGCAGCUUCCUCGCGGCACUGGGAAGGGCGGCGGGAACGCAGGCGCUGCGCCGGGCGAAGGCCGCGGCCCUGCUCUCAUCCUCAGCAGUUGGGAGGCUGGGGCUGGGCUACACCGACCCGAGCGGGGGCCGGGCGCGGGCCAGGCUCCUCCCUCAUCUCCGGCUCCGUGGGCCGCGUGGCUGCCCCUUGGCAGGCUCUGCGGGGUCCCUGUCCCUGCCUGGGUAGUGUGCGCCCUUACCCUCCCGCCCCGCUUCAGGCCCUGCAGUUGAGAACACGGCGCCCUCGCCCCAGCCUGGUCCUCGCUCUAGAUCCCGACCCUGACGCAGCCUGGGGAAGCCUACAAAGCCCCUCUCAAAAUAUUUUUAGAUGAAUAAAAUAACAAGAUUAGGAAGGAAGGCUACUAUGCCGGGCGUGGUGGAGCACAUCUGAGGGCCCAGCUACUCGGGAGCUGAGGCAGGAGGAUCCCUUAAGCCUGGGAAGUCAAGGCUGCAGUGAGCCGAGAUGGGUGCCACUUCACUCCAGCCUAGGCGACAGAGUGAGACUUGCAGAAGGAAAGAGAGAAAAGAAAUACAGUAACAGUUAAUAAAAUUCUUAACACACAUGUAAUAAUGUAUUUUACUCACACAUUAAAUAACAAGACUAAAGUUGC